GAAAUGCGAUAUGUAAUGUGAAUUGCAGAAUAGUGAAUCAUCGAAUCUUUGAACGCACCUUGCGCCUUUCGAGGCAUGCUGGUUUGAGCGCCUUAUAACCCUGGACUAUCAGCUCGCUGUUAGACCGAUUUGAGUGUUGCCGUAGGCUCGCUCUGAAUGCAUUAGCGAUUGAAGGCUUGUCACAGUGUAAUAAGAUUCCAUUGUAGCAAGUCCUAGACCGCUCCUAACCGUCCUCGGACAACACCAUGAACUAGGCAUCAAAGUAGUAGGACUACCCGCUGAACUUAA
RNAcentral lists this unclassified non-coding RNA (288 nucleotides) under uncultured Dacrymyces. RNAcentral describes it as "sequence contains ITS1". The stretch from base 1 to 93 matches the Rfam family "5.8S ribosomal RNA", at positions 50 to 154 of the family's 154-position model. The record is from RNAcentral. Lineage: Eukaryota; Fungi; Basidiomycota; Dacrymycetes; Dacrymycetales; Dacrymycetaceae.